GGGGCCGUAAAGGUUUCGACAGGGAUUUUGAGGUAUGAUAAGCGUGGCGGGCAGGAUAAUCCCGUAAAACUGUCCAACUUAAAAAACAAACGACAACAAUAAAGUUGCUCUUGCAGCGUAAGCUGUGAUGCGGCAUUAACGCCGCCCGUACCGUGAGAGAGGACUACGGCUCUCACCGUGCGUCAAAUCAGUAGUGAACAUGAAUCGAGAUUUCGCUCUUGUAUCGGUCAUGCACAAAAGGGCUACCCGACUGAUAGCCUGUCUAUCGGCGCUCACGAGGGGAAUUUCAAAGGAUAAGACUGCCCACGGAGAAGGUUAUAUCAAGAGGUUUUUGGACACGGGUUCGAUUCCCGUCGGCUCCACCA
Molecule: transfer-messenger RNA, 365 nt
Filed under: Eubacteriales
Lineage: Bacteria; Bacillati; Bacillota; Clostridia
Also listed under: 1 other name
Description: UBA1740 sp017631325 Standard tmRNA
Rfam family: transfer-messenger RNA
About the family: Bacterial tmRNA, also known as 10Sa RNA or SsrA, is named for its dual tRNA and mRNA-like properties. Its role is to liberate the mRNA from a stalled ribosome.
Source: RNAcentral